GUGAAUCAUCGAAUCUUUGAACGCAAAUUGCACUCUCUGGUAUUCCGGAGAGUAUGCCUGUUUGAGGGUCAGUUUAAAUAAAAAUCGGUGUGGUUGCUGCCUUUCGUGGUGACGCACCGGAUUUGGGUCGUCUGGCUUUCGUUUAGGGACCUAAAAUUUUGCCAUGAUUUUUUUGGAAGUUAUAUAUGUGUUUUUAUAUG
RNAcentral lists this unclassified non-coding RNA (200 nucleotides) under Glomeraceae sp. Its description in RNAcentral is "partial contains 5.8S ribosomal RNA and internal transcribed spacer 2". The stretch from base 1 to 71 matches the Rfam family "5.8S ribosomal RNA", at positions 84 to 154 of the family's 154-position model. Lineage: Eukaryota; Fungi; Glomeromycota; Glomeromycetes; Glomerales; Glomeraceae. The record is from RNAcentral.